AUAUGUACCUGCCAGGAGAGAUUCCAUGACCACAAAGGUUGUUUUCUAAGAGUGAGACUUCACUGUCGCCUCCAAUAUGCUGUUUCCUGUGAUUUCCCGAAAUGUGGGAAACUUGAUUGCAUAAUUUACAGCAGUAGGGGCCUGAGUUUGCACUCUCCCCUA
Molecule: small nuclear RNA, 162 nt
Filed under: Saimiri boliviensis boliviensis (Bolivian squirrel monkey)
Lineage: Eukaryota; Metazoa; Chordata; Mammalia; Primates; Cebidae
Description: U1 spliceosomal RNA (ENSSBOG00000019104.1)
Rfam family: U1 spliceosomal RNA
About the family: U1 is a small nuclear RNA (snRNA) component of the spliceosome (involved in pre-mRNA splicing). Its 5' end forms complementary base pairs with the 5' splice junction, thus defining the 5' donor site of an intron.
Source: RNAcentral